AGCAGCCGCGGUAAUUCCAGCUCCAAUAGCGUAUAUUAAAGUUGUUGCAGUUAAAAAGCUCGUAGUUGAAUUUUAGGCCUGGCCGGGCGGUCCGUCUUUGGCGAGUACUGUCCUGUGUCGGGUCUUCCUUCUGGUGAACCAGUAUGUCCUUUAUUGGGUGUGCCGGGGAGCCAGGACCAUUACCUUGAAAAAAUUAGAGUGUUUAAAGCGGGCAUUUGCUUGAAUAGAUUAGCAUGGAAUAAUAGAAUAGGACGUUGUGGUUCUAUUUUGUUGGUUUCUAGGACCACCGUAAUGAUUAAUAGGGAUAGUUGGGGGCAUUAGUAUUCAAUUGUCAGAGGUGAAAUUCUUGGAUUUAUUGAAGACUAACUACUGCGAAAGCAUUUGCCAAGGAUGUUUUCAUUAAUCAAGAACGAAAGUUAGGGGAUCGAAGACGAUCAGAUACCGUCGUAG
RNAcentral lists this ribosomal RNA (450 nucleotides) under uncultured Glomeromycotina. RNAcentral's name for it is "SSU rRNA". It matches the Rfam family "Eukaryotic small subunit ribosomal RNA", at positions 569 to 1023 of the family's 1831-position model. Lineage: Eukaryota; Fungi; Glomeromycota. The record is from RNAcentral.